This 21-nucleotide microRNA is filed under the name Monodelphis domestica (gray short-tailed opossum). RNAcentral's name for it is "mdo-miR-7342-5p". Lineage: Eukaryota; Metazoa; Chordata; Mammalia; Didelphimorphia; Didelphidae. The record is from miRBase by way of RNAcentral.
CCUGCCUCUCCCCUUGUGUGG